This 441-nucleotide ribosomal RNA is filed under the name uncultured soil bacterium. RNAcentral's name for it is "bacterial SSU rRNA". It matches the Rfam family "Bacterial small subunit ribosomal RNA", at positions 26 to 472 of the family's 1533-position model. The record is from RNAcentral.
AGGACGAACGCUGGCGGCGUGCUUAACACAUGCAAGUCGAACGGUAAGGCCCCUUCGGGGGUACACGAGUGGCGAACGGGUGAGUAACACGUGGGUAAUCUGCCCUGCACUUCGGGAUAAGCCUGGGAAACUGGGUCUAAUACCGGAUAUGAACUCCUGCCGCAUGGUGGGGGUUGGAAAGUUUUUCGGUGCAGGAUGAGCCCGCGGCCUAUCAGCUUGUUGGUGGGGUAAUGGCCUACCAAGGCGACGACGGGUAGCCGGCCUGAGAGGGUGAGUCGGCCACACUGGGACUGAGACACGGCCCAGACUCCUACGGGAGGCAGCAGUGGGAAUUUGGACAAUGGGCGAAAGCCUGAUCCAGCAAUGCCGCGUGCAGGAAGAAGGCCUUCGGUUGUAAACUGUCUUUGUAACGGUAACGAAAGGUACUCUUACUAAUAAAGA